This 322-nucleotide ribosomal RNA is filed under the name uncultured bacterium. Its description in RNAcentral is "bacterial SSU rRNA". It matches the Rfam family "Bacterial small subunit ribosomal RNA", at positions 29 to 377 of the family's 1533-position model. The record is from RNAcentral.
AACGAACGCUGGCGGCAUGCCUAACACAUGCAAGUCGAACGAAGCCUUCGGGCUUAGUGGCGCACGGGUGCGUAACGCGUGGGAAUCUGCCCUUGGGUUCGGAAUAACAGUUAGAAAUGACUGCUAAUACCGAAUGAUGUCUUCGGACCAAAGAUUUAUCGCCCAAGGAUGAGCCCGCGUCGGAUUAGCUAGUUGGUGAGGUAAAGGCUCACCAAGGCGACGAUCCGUAGCUGGUCUGAGAGGAUGAUCAGCCACACUGGGACUGAGGACACGGCCCAGACUCCUACGGGAGGCAGCAGUGGGGAAUAUUGGACAAUGGGCG